CGCACUGUAUACAUGAUAAAUAAAUC
This 26-nucleotide non-coding RNA is filed under the name Cricetulus griseus (Chinese hamster). The record is from RNAcentral. Lineage: Eukaryota; Metazoa; Chordata; Mammalia; Rodentia; Cricetidae.